RNAcentral lists this ribosomal RNA (429 nucleotides) under Chloroflexota bacterium. RNAcentral's name for it is "Chloroflexi bacterium partial 16S ribosomal RNA". It matches the Rfam family "Bacterial small subunit ribosomal RNA", at positions 355 to 776 of the family's 1533-position model. Lineage: Bacteria; Bacillati; Chloroflexota. The record is from RNAcentral.
UGGGGAAUAUUGCACAAUGGGCGCAAGCCUGAUGCAGCCAUGCCGCGCGUAUUAAGAAGGCCUCCGGGCUGUAAAGUACUUUCAGCGGGGAGGAAGGGAGUAAAGUUAAUACCUUUGCUCAUUGACGUUACCCGCAGAAGAAGCACCGGCUAACUCCGUGCCAGCAGCCGCGGUAAUACGGAGGGUGCAAGCGUUAAUCGGAAUUACUGGGCGUAAAGCGCACGCAGGCGGUUGAUUGAGUCAGAUGUGAAAUCCCCGGGCUUAACCCGGGAAUUGCAUCUGAUACUGGUCAGCUAGAGUCUUGUAGAGGGGGGUAGAAUUCCAUGUGUAGCGGUGAAAUGCGUAGAGAUGUGGAGGAAUACCGGUGGCGAAGGCGGCCCCCUGGACAAAGAAUGACGCUCAGGUGCGAAAGCGUGGGGAGCAAACAGG